RNAcentral lists this ribosomal RNA (253 nucleotides) under uncultured bacterium. RNAcentral's name for it is "partial 16S ribosomal RNA". It matches the Rfam family "Bacterial small subunit ribosomal RNA", at positions 524 to 776 of the family's 1533-position model. The record is from RNAcentral.
UACGUAGGGUGCAAGCGUUGUCCGGAAUUAUUGGGCGUAAAGAGCUCGUAGGCGGUCUGUCGCGUCGGCUGUGAAAACUCGGGGCUCAACCCCGAGCCUGCAGUCGAUACGGGCAGACUAGAGUCCGGCAGGGGAGACUGGAAUUCCUGGUGUAGCGGUGAAAUGCGCAGAUAUCAGGAGGAACACCGGUGGCGAAGGCGGGUCUCUGGGCAGUAACUGACGCUGAGGAGCGAAAGCGUGGGGAGCGAACAGG